This 207-nucleotide ribosomal RNA is filed under the name uncultured bacterium. RNAcentral describes it as "partial 16S ribosomal RNA". It matches the Rfam family "Bacterial small subunit ribosomal RNA", at positions 568 to 774 of the family's 1533-position model. The record is from RNAcentral.
UGCGUAGGUGGCAGUGCAAGUCAGAUGUGAAAGGCCGGGGGCUCAACCCCGGAGCUGCAUUUGAAACUGCGCGGCUAGAGUACAGGAGAGGCAGGCGGAAUUCCUAGUGUAGCGGUGAAAUGCGUAGAUAUUAGGAGGAACACCAGUGGCGAAGGCGGCUUACUGGACGGUAACUGACGUUGAGGCUGAAAGCGUGGAGAGCAAACA